This 6396-nucleotide long non-coding RNA is filed under the name Manihot esculenta (cassava). RNAcentral describes it as "long non-coding RNA (MESC_LNC005068)". Lineage: Eukaryota; Viridiplantae; Streptophyta; Magnoliopsida; Malpighiales; Euphorbiaceae. The record is from RNAcentral.
AUCGUCAGAUGCUCGCUUUUCUCUACACUCUUUUGUCUUUUGUAUUUGCUUUCUAUUAUUCUCCGUUUGUAGGAUUCUGAGUGUUUGCUCUUAUUUAGUCUCGGAUUUCUUUUUUUUUUUUUUUCGGAUUUUAGUUGAUCUGCUUUGCCUUCUACAAAUUAUCUGCUGUAUUUUCAGGUCCCUGGUUGAAGCAUCAUGGCUUCCAAACGUAUUUUGAAGGAACUUAAGGAUUUGCAGAAAGAUCCACCUACUUCUUGCAGUGCAGGUUUGUCUCAGAUGAUUAAUUUCUUUGGAGUCGUUCUUGAUUGUUUUAGAUUUCAGUUACCAGUGCUUAUUCUCAACGAUAUUUCACUACUCAGGGUGUUGCGACGAUUUAGCCCAUGCAUAAUCUAGUUAACUUUGUAUAGCAUCUACCUUGUUCUACUGGUACUACCAUCUUAGCCUCGCUCAAUGACUCGGGUGGUUGUUAUUGCGGAUUGGGGGUUUGCGUGGGAGAUAAUAGCUUCGAGACAUAGUGCUCUCUCUCUGGAAAAGAAAUUUAAGGGGAAACAAAAAGGAAAAAAAAGGAAAGAAGAAGCUUGAGUUCUGAUUGCUUUCUCUUCAUGCUUUCAUUUUCCUUUCCUUGUGGCUAAUUGUUUGAUGAUGUAUUGCGACUUUUCAUUAUUUUUUGCUAGUCACCAUUUGUUAUUUAUGGUUGUUUUCCCCAUUGCUGCAUCUGCUCCCUUAUUUGAGUUGCUAUUGCUCCUUUAUCCAUUAUAUCUGGCAAAUGGCUUUUUCGAUUUUACAAUCAUGAUGGAUUUUUCUUGAAAAUUUUGGAAGUACUAUUCAUUCAAAAUGUAUCUGAUCAAAUAGGAACAUGUGCAGUAAAACAUUGUAUGCUUUUAGCUCAGCUUUUUUGUUCUUUUGACUUGAUUGUGUCCUAUGAUUGGUUUUUCAGUUCUUCUUCUUCAUCCUAUUUUAUUUGUAUCUCAUGUAUUAUUUAGCAUAGUUUUGAGUAAACCAACCUCUGGAUUCAUGAUUAAUUGUAACAGGUCCUGUAGCUGAAGACAUGUUCCACUGGCAGGCAACAAUCAUGGGCCCAUCUGAUAGCCCAUAUGCUGGAGGCGUAUUUCUAGUUACUAUCCAUUUUCCUCCUGAUUAUCCAUUCAAGCCUCCAAAGGUAACUUAUGGGACUUGAGAUGUUUCUAGCCGUGUGCCUGUGAGUAGGGUUGGUAGGUGGAGGGAGGUGUGUUUAAAUAUAUGAGGCUUUUGUUUUGUGUUUUAUAUACUUAUUUGGAGCGAUAAUAUUUCUGUUCUCAGGUUGCAUUCAGGACAAAGGUCUUUCACCCGAACAUAAAUAGUAAUGGAAGCAUUUGUCUUGAUAUCCUCAAAGAACAGUGGAGCCCUGCUCUUACCAUUUCUAAGGUUUGAUUUGGAUCCAUGACUUUAGGCUGGUAAUUGUACAGCUUUAUAGGCGAGUGUCAAUAGUAAAUCAACAAUGGAAAAGGAGAACUUCAUCAUAUAAAAUUCAUGCUAAUAUUGUUGCAAUAGUUUAAGAAUAUGGUGAAACUUGCAUUAUUUUGGCAAAUUUAGUGCAACUGCUUUUGGUUAUUAGGCUGCAAAGCAUUAGUGUUACCUUAAAGUUUUUUUUGAAUUAUUUUGCCUUGGAUUUGUUUUUUUUCCCCCCUACAACUAUGAUUUGGUUAAGAGCUCAGACCUCAGGAUAUGAAAAUAUGAUUGCACGAGUUAUAAUCUUUAUCAUCUCUCCUUGAUCCGUGUCAAUUUUUCCAGUUCUCAAAAUUUUUGAAUGCCAUUGUAUGUAAAAUGCUCAAUGAACCUUAGCUGAAUCUGCAUGUCAAACUCCAAGAAGAAGAGAGAUGAGAGGGUUGUGCUGAUACUGAAAUGGGAUUCUAGCUUUGGACUUCUGAAAUUUUCUUCUGGAUAAUUUUCACUUCCAUGCAGCAGAGAAAUUAGGAAUUAUUACUCUAGCUAUGUAACCAUACUUGCCUUAUCAGGUACUGCUCUCCAUUUGCUCAUUGCUGACUGAUCCAAAUCCUGAUGACCCUCUUGUACCGGAGAUUGCCCAUAUGUAUAAGACUGAUCGAGCUAAGUAUGAAGCAACUGCACGCAGCUGGACACAGAAGUAUGCCAUGGGAUGAUAAAUAUUCAGAUACUGUAUAAAUGGGUUGUGUCUAUUUGUAGAAUGUGUUAAAUCCGUUUUAACUUUUGGACUUACUUAUUUGAGGGGGCCGUUUAGGGAAUGAACUUUUCCUCGGUGGAACUGAAACUAUAGUUUGAAGAUUGGCUGGAAAAUAACUGUAUGGUCAGGAUGUUUUGAUGUAGACAAUGUCUGUUGUUUUAAGCUAUUAUUUUCUCUGGUGUUAAAGCUCUUUUUUCACUUGGUGAUUUUGAUCCGAUAGUAAUGUGGCUCUUAUCGUGGGCCUCUGUUUCUCACAUAUGUGCCAUGCCAUAAAGUUUGGACCAUUGUUUUAGCCUCCAAAACACCAUUCGCUUUGAUGAGAGUAUCCAGGCGCUGGUCUCUAUAGCGGACAUCAAUUUUCCUCAGCCGAUGCUGGUACGUAUCUGCUAAUGCUUGAUUUGAGAAAUUUCUUUAAACAAUAUGCACCAUAUCAUAUGUUGGAGUUAAAAUAUAAAUGUAUGUAAUGGAGUUAAAAUAUAAAUGUAUGUAUUAUUUUAGAUGAUAGGUUAAUACUAUUUUUUGCCUACAAAUUUUGGAAUUAUCUAAUUAUUUCAAUAUAAUAUAAUAACACUCAUAAAGCGAUAGUAUAUAAUAAAAAAAAAGCUUGAUGUAUCAAAUCUUUCCAUAAAAAUACGGAUCAAUGGAUCAUUUAAGUAAUUGUUUUUAUUGUGUUAUCUUUUUAAACUUUUUACUAAAAUAAUAUGUAAAAUUUGAAAUUUAAAUUGUAAAUCCUCUUUCAUAGUUAAAUAUUACAAGUUUCAAAAAGAUUUUAUUUCUUAUAUAUAUAUUUUUAAAUUUUUUAUAUGUCCAUUUACAUAAAAAAGUUUUAAAAUUUUUGCUAUUAUAUAAUUUAAGUUAAAAUUUUAAAAAUUGAAAAAAUUAUUUAAAUUUAAAAAUUUUAUUAUAAUUAUAUCUAAAUUUUAAAUUUCAAUUAAAAAAAAAGUGUGUUUUACUCACAUGAAAAUAUGAUAUAAAUUAUUUUAUUAUAUUCAUAUUAUAUAGAUAAAUUUCAUUAUUAUACUCAUAUAUUAUAUAGAUAAAUUCUAUUAGUAUAAAAAAUCUAAAAUUUUUUUAUUAUUUUAUAAUUUAAUUUAAAUUUUAAAAUUUAGUGUAAUUUAAUUGAGAAUUUCUAAAUCUAUUGUUUUUUGUCUCUGUUUGGCCUGAUGCAAUAAAUUAUAACUUUAAUUUUUUAUGUUUACCAUUAAUUUUAACAGAAAUCACAAUAGAUUUUAUAUUUCUUAAUUUCUUAAUUUUUUAAAUAUUUUGCCAAGUGUUGAUCAUAAAAAAAAAAAUCUAUUCAUUAUAAAAAAUCAUGUCAUUGUAAUAAAAAGUGUAAAUUAUAGUCUUAUUGUUUAUAGUGUUAUUAAUAUUUUAUUACUGUUCAAUAAUAUAAAUUAAUAUUUAAAGAUACAAGUAUAUACGUUAUAUUAAUAGCAAAUAUUAUUAAAUCAAAAAAAUUAAAAGAACCAUAAAAGAGUUUAUACGCUUAACAUAUGGGAAAGAAUUAUGAUAAUAAAUUUUUAGAAAUUUAAUAAUAAUAAAAAAAAAUUUAAAAAUUUUAAAUUGAAUUAUAUCAAUUUUAUUUUAAUAGUAUUUAACUGGAUAAUAUAUUAAUAUAAUAAAAUAAUUUACAUCAGUGAACUCUGGUUAAAAUUUUUAAAUUUAAAUAUAAUUAUAAUAAAAUUUAUAAUUUUAUUAAUUUUAUUUUAAAUAAAAAUUAGAAAUUGAGAGUAGAAUAUGAGACUUAUCAUAUUUACUUAAAUGGAUUUACUAUCAAAUUAAAUUUGUGAGUCCAAUUUUAUUAAUUUUUAAAUUUUAAAUUAAAUUAUAAAAUAAAAAAAUAUUAAAAUUUUAUAUAAAUAGCCCAUUUUAUAUAUAAUUAACUUUUUUAUCUAUGUUAAUUUUAAAAAUAUAAAUAUAAAAUUUAGAUUACCCGAUCUGAUUUGAAUUGGACUAAUCGAUUAAAUUAAAUCAACUAAUUGAAUUAGACCAAUUGAUUAAAUUGAAUUAAUAUCUUGAAUUAAACCGAUUGAUCGCAUAAUAUUAUUUACUAAAUCAGUAAAUUAAAUUGAUAUAAUAUUUAAAAUCGGACUGAUAAAUCAUAUUGAUUUAAAAUAUUAAAUUAUAUCAAUCAAUAAGAACAAAACGAUAUUUAAAAUUAGAUCAGCCUAUCAAGAGUGAUUAUAUUGAUUAUUUGAUCGAGUCUAAUUUAUAAUAAAAUGGCUAGAAAUAUUAUAUAUUAUAUGCUGCAUAAGAGACUUAACAUAUAAUUACAUAAUAUAAAAAAUUUAAACUAAAUUAAUUUUAUAAACUAUAUAUUAUAUGUGAGACUUAACUCAUCAUUUAUUUUUGUACCAAAUAUUUUAAAUUAAAUUAACUCUAUAUAUUAUAGAAUGAAAUUACUCGCAUGUACUGAAUGUGAAGCUUAAUAUAUGACUUAUUUUCUAUGUCAUAUAUAAAUUAAAUUAUAUGAUAUGUACUGUAAUAUAUAGAUGAUGUUUAAUCAAUAUUUUUUUACCAAUUAAAAUUUUUGUUCAUAUUUAUUUAUGAAAAUGCUUGAAAUUUACAUUAUUUUGAAAUGUUUGAUGCAUCUUCCUCAAUUCUUUAAGACAGUUAUGUGGAUUUAUAGAGAAAUUGAAAAAAGUAAUAUUGUAAUGCAAGUUUAUUUUAAUUUUAAUUAAAUUUAAUUGUAUGUAGAGAAUAUAAAAUAAUUAUAAUUUUAAUUCAAUUAAAUUAUAUAUGAAGUAAAUAAGAUGAUAUUGUUUUUAAUUUAAUUUAAUCAUAAUAUAUGUAAUAUGAAUUAAUUUUAAUUUAAUUAACCCAGUUUAUGAUUUAUAUAAAGUGAUUUCAAUUUAAUUUAUUUAUUUUAUAAUUAAUAUAAUAUUAAUUAAUUUUAAUUUAAAUUAACUCAUAUAUAGUGAAAAUAUUAUAAAUUGAUUUUAAUUAAUUUGAUUGACUCAUAUGGAUAUAAGAUGAUUUUAAUUUUAAUUUAAUUGAAUUAUUUUAUAAUAAAAUUAUAAUUAAAUUUAUAAUAUAAUAAAUAUAUAAUUUCAUUUAUAUUAUAUUAUAUACACUAAAUAUAUUAUAUAAACAAUUAUUUUUACAUUAUACAGAAAAAUAAUUAUUUUUUAAUUAUUUCUUAUGUUUUAAAAAUGAAAUUUUGACUGUAAAAUUAUAUGGAUAAAAUAACAUUUUAUAUUAAUGAAUCCUUUUGAUCUAUGUUAAAUGUGAAUUUAUUCGGUUACUCAAUUAUGAUUUUAAAUAAAAUAUAAAUUUUUAAUGAAAAUUAAUUAUUUUCCAUUAAAAAAAAUAAUUUUUUUCCUUCAAUUUAAAUAAUUUUGCUGAUUUGUUUUUAUUAGUGUAUAUCUAUAUUGUUAUUUGUAUUCAUAUAAUAACGUCUACAUAAUCGGAAACAGUAGUGGAACAGAUAAGCCCAACAAAUUAAAAUAAGAAAUAAAAAAUUUGGAAAUUGGACAGGACAACUGCUACAUAACCAAUUUCAAUGAAAAAAAGCAAACCCUCUGGCCUCCGCGGCUCAUUUUCUGCAAAAAAGAGGGAAGAAAGGUGCGAGAUCAGUCAGGGAGUGGGAAAUCAGCGGUUCUCGAACUGAAAGUGAGGGGCGUGGCUGUGGAUCUGCUUCAAAGCCGUUUCCCCUUUUUACCUCACUCGUCGCCGUCCGAUAGCAUUUCCCCUUCAAAACCAGAGUUUUUCAUAGUCAGGUGCUCACUUUUUCUCUACUCUCUUUUGUCUUUUGUAUUUGCUUUCUGUUAUUCUCCGUUUGUAGGAUUCUGAGUGUUUGCUCUUAUCUAGUCUCAGAUUUUUUUUUUUUUGCGGGAUUUUAGUUGAUCUGCUUUGCCUUAUACAAAUUAUGUGCUGUGUUUUCAGGUCCCUGGUUGAACCAUCAUGGCUUCCAAGCGUAUUUUGAAGGAACUUAAGGAUUUGCAGAAAGAUCCACCUACUUCUUGCAGUGCAGGUUUGUGUCAGAUGAUUCAUUUCUUAUUGCUGUCGUUAUUGAUUGUUUUAGAUUUCAGUUACCGGUGCUUAUUCUCAACGAUAUUUCAUUACUGAGGGUGUUGCGACGAUUUAGCCCAUGCAUAGUCUAGUUAAAUUUGUAUUGCGUCUAACUUGUUCUACACUUAGCCUGGCUCUGUGACUCGGGUGGUUGUUAUUGGGGAUUGGGAAUUUGCGUGGGAGAUUAUAGCUUCGAGACAUAGUGC